This 496-nucleotide ribosomal RNA is filed under the name uncultured bacterium. RNAcentral describes it as "partial 16S ribosomal RNA". It matches the Rfam family "Bacterial small subunit ribosomal RNA", at positions 28 to 507 of the family's 1533-position model. The record is from RNAcentral.
GAUGAACGCUGGCGGCGUGCCUAAUACAUGCAAGUCGAGCGAACGGACGAGAAGCUUGCUUCUCUGAUGUUAGCGGCGGACGGGUGAGUAACAUGUGGAUAACCUACCUAUAAGACUGGGAUAACUUCGGGAAACCGGAGCUAAUACCGGAUAAUAUUUUGAACCGCAUGGUUCAAAAGUGAAAGACGGUCUUGCUGUCACUUAUAGAUGGAUCCGCGCUGCAUUAGCUAGUUGGUAGGGAACCGCUUACCAAAGCAAAGAUGCAUAGCCGACCUGAGAGGGUGAUCAGCCCCACUAGAACUUAGACACGGUCCAGACUCCUACGGGAGGCAGCAGUAGGGAAUCUUCCGCAAUGGGCGAAAGCCUGACGGAGCAACGCCGCGUGAGUGAUGAAGGUCUUCGGAUCGUAAAACUCUGUUAUUAGGGAAGAACAUAUGUGUAAGUAACUAUGCACAUCUUGACGGUACCUAAUCAGAAAGCCACGGCUAACUACGUG